This 290-nucleotide ribosomal RNA is filed under the name uncultured bacterium. RNAcentral's name for it is "partial 16S ribosomal RNA". It matches the Rfam family "Bacterial small subunit ribosomal RNA", at positions 773 to 1060 of the family's 1533-position model. The record is from RNAcentral.
GUGGAUUAGAUACCCGGGUAGUCCACGCCGUAAACGAUGAUAACUAGCUGUCCGGGCACUUGGUGCUUGGGUGGCGCAGCUAACGCAUUAAGUUAUCCGCCUGGGGAGUACGGUCGCAAGAUUAAAACUCAAAGGAAUUGACGGGGGCCUGCACAAGCGGUGGAGCAUGUGGUUUAAUUCGAAGCAACGCGCAGAACCUUACCAGCCUUUGACAUCCUAGGACGACUUCUGGAGACAGAUUUCUUCCCUUCGGGGACCUAGUGACAGGUGCUGCACGGUUGUCGCCAGCU